Molecule: unclassified non-coding RNA, 337 nt
Filed under: soil metagenome
Description: partial contains 5.8S ribosomal RNA, internal transcribed spacer 2, and large subunit ribosomal RNA
Rfam family: 5.8S ribosomal RNA (bases 1-120)
Source: RNAcentral
GAUGAAGAACGCAGCGAAAUGCGAUAAGUAAUGCGAAUUGCAGAAUUCAGUGAAUCAUCGAAUCUUUGAACGCACAUUGCGCCCGCCAGUAUUCUGGCGGGCAUGCCUGUUCGAGCGUCAUUUCAACCAUCAAGCCCCCCGGCUUGUGUUGGGGACCUGCGGCUGCCGCAGGCCCUGAAAAGCAGUGGCGGGCUCGCUGUCACACCGAGCGUAGUAGAUCUCAUCUCGCUCAGGGCGUGCUGCGGGUUCCGGCCGUUAAACCACCUUCAUAACCCAAGGUUGACCUCGGAUCAGGUAGGAAGACCCGCUGAACUUAAGCAUAUCAAUAAGCGGAGGA